Molecule: ribosomal RNA, 304 nt
Filed under: uncultured Glomus
Lineage: Eukaryota; Fungi; Glomeromycota; Glomeromycetes; Glomerales; Glomeraceae
Description: SSU rRNA
Rfam family: Eukaryotic small subunit ribosomal RNA
Source: RNAcentral
GUAAUACAUUAGCAUGGAAUAAUGAAAUAGGACGUUUGAUUCUAUUUGUUGGUUUCUUAGGAUCGACGUAAUGAUUAAUAAGGAUAGUUGGGGGUCGAUUAGUAUUCAAUUGUCAGAGGUGAAAUUCUUGGAUUUAUUGAAGACUAACUACUGCGAAAGCAUUUUGCCAAGGAUGUUUUCAUUAAUCAAGAACGAAAGUUAGGGGAUCGAAGACGAUCAGAUACCGUCGUAGUCUUAACCAUAAACUAUGCCGACUAGGGAUCGGAUGAUGUUAAUUUUUUAAUGACUCAUUCGGCGCCUUACG